Molecule: ribosomal RNA, 478 nt
Filed under: uncultured cyanobacterium
Lineage: Bacteria; Bacillati; Cyanobacteriota
Description: partial 16S ribosomal RNA
Source: RNAcentral
UAUUACCGGCGGCUGCUGGCACGGAGUUAGCCCGAAGCUGAUUCCCUCAGGUACCUUCACUUUCUUAUUCCCUGAGAAAAGAGGUUUACAACCCAAGAGCCUUCCUCCCUCACGCGGUAUUGCUCCGUCAGGCUUUCGCCCAUUGCGGAAAAUUCCCCACUGCUGCCUCCCGUAGGAGUCUGGGCCGUGUCUCAGUCCCAGUGUGGCUGGUCAUCCUCUCAGACCAGCUACUGAUCGUCGCCUAGGUGCGCUCUUACCACACCUACUAGCUAAUCAGACGCGAGCUCAUCAAAAGGCGAUUAAUCUUUCACCCACAGGCACAUCCGGUAUUAGCAGUCGUUUCCAACUGUUGUCCCGAACCUUUUGCCAGAUUCUCACGCGUUACUCACCCGUCCGCCACUAAGUUCCGAAGAACUCCGUUCGACUUGCAUGUGUUAAGCAUACCGCCAGCGUUCAUCCUGAGCCAGAAUCAAACUCU